Molecule: ribosomal RNA, 689 nt
Filed under: Pseudomonas sp. GA29-2
Lineage: Bacteria; Pseudomonadati; Pseudomonadota; Gammaproteobacteria; Pseudomonadales; Pseudomonadaceae
Description: bacterial SSU rRNA
Rfam family: Bacterial small subunit ribosomal RNA
Source: RNAcentral
GACGGGUGAGUAAUGCCUAGGAAUCUGCCUGGUAGUGGGGGACAACGUUUCGAAAGGAACGCUAAUACCGCAUACGUCCUACGGGAGAAAGCAGGGGACCUUCGGGCCUUGCGCUAUCAGAUGAGCCUAGGUCGGAUUAGCUAGUUGGUGAGGUAAUGGCUCACCAAGGCGACGAUCCGUAACUGGUCUGAGAGGAUGAUCAGUCACACUGGAACUGAGACACGGUCCAGACUCCUACGGGAGGCAGCAGUGGGGAAUAUUGGACAAUGGGCGAAAGCCUGAUCCAGCCAUGCCGCGUGUGUGAAGAAGGUCUUCGGAUUGUAAAGCACUUUAAGUUGGGAGGAAGGGUUGUAGAUUAAUACUCUGCAAUUUUGACGUUACCGACAGAAUAAGCACCGGCUAACUCUGUGCCAGCAGCCGCGGUAAUACAGAGGGUGCAAGCGUUAAUCGGAAUUACUGGGCGUAAAGCGCGCGUAGGUGGUUUGUUAAGUUGGAUGUGAAAUCCCCGGGCUCAACCUGGGAACUGCAUCCAAAACUGGCAAGCUAGAGUAUGGUAGAGGGUGGUGGAAUUUCCUGUGUAGCGGUGAAAUGCGUAGAUAUAGGAAGGAACACCAGUGGCGAAGGCGACCACCUGGACUGAUACUGACACUGAGGUGCGAAAGCGUGGGGAGCAAACAGGAUUAGAUACC